Molecule: ribosomal RNA, 1004 nt
Filed under: Staphylococcus aureus
Lineage: Bacteria; Bacillati; Bacillota; Bacilli; Caryophanales; Staphylococcaceae
Description: partial 23S ribosomal RNA
Rfam family: Bacterial large subunit ribosomal RNA
Source: RNAcentral
CUGGGAGGACCAUCUCCUAAGGCUAAAUACUCUCUAGUGACCGAUAGUGAACCAGUACCGUGAGGGAAAGGUGAAAAGCACCCCGGAAGGGGAGUGAAAUAGAACCUGAAACCGUGUGCUUACAAGUAGUCAGAGCCCGUUAAUGGGUGAUGGCGUGCCUUUUGUAGAAUGAACCGGCGAGUUACGAUUUGAUGCAAGGUUAAGCAGUAAAUGUGGAGCCGUAGCGAAAGCGAGUCUGAAUAGGGCGUUUAGUAUUUGGUCGUAGACCCGAAACCAGGUGAUCUACCCUUGGUCAGGUUGAAGUUCAGGUAACACUGAAUGGAGGACCGAACCGACUUACGUUGAAAAGUGAGCGGAUGAACUGAGGGUAGCGGAGAAAUUCCAAUCGAACCUGGAGAUAGCUGGUUCUCUCCGAAAUAGCUUUAGGGCUAGCCUCAAGUGAUGAUUAUUGGAGGUAGAGCACUGUUUGGACGAGGGGCCCCUCUCGGGUUACCGAAUUCAGACAAACUCCGAAUGCCAAUUAAUUUAACUUGGGAGUCAGAACAUGGGUGAUAAGGUCCGUGUUCGAAAGGGAAACAGCCCAGACCACCAGCUAAGGUCCCAAAAUAUAUGUUAAGUGGAAAAGGAUGUGGCGUUGCCCAGACAACUAGGAUGUUGGCUUAGAAGCAGCCAUCAUUUAAAGAGUGCGUAAUAGCUCACUAGUCGAGUGACACUGCGCCGAAAAUGUACCGGGGCUAAACAUAUUACCGAAGCUGUGGAUUGUCCUUUGGACAAUGGUAGGAGAGCGUUCUAAGGGCGUUGAAGCAUGAUCGUAAGGACAUGUGGAGCGCUUAGAAGUGAGAAUGCCGGUGUGAGUAGCGAAAGACGGGUGAGAAUCCCGUCCACCGAUUGACUAAGGUUUCCAGAGGAAGGCUCGUCCGCUCUGGGUUAGUCGGGUCCUAAGCUGAGGCCGACAGGCGUAGGCGAUGGAUAACAGGUUGAUAUUCCUGUACCACCUAUAAUCG